Molecule: ribosomal RNA, 497 nt
Filed under: uncultured bacterium
Lineage: Bacteria
Description: partial 16S ribosomal RNA
Rfam family: Bacterial small subunit ribosomal RNA
Source: RNAcentral
GACGAACGCUGGCGGCGUGCCUAAUGCAUGCAAGUAGAACGCUGAAGAGAGGAGCUUGCUCUUCUUGGAUGAGUUGCGAACGGGUGAGUAACGCGUAGGUAACCGGCCUUGUAGCGGGGGAUAACUAUUGGAAACGAUAGCUAAUACCGCAUAACAAUGGAUGACACAUGUCAUUUAUUUGAAAGGGGCAAUUGCUCCACUACAAGAUGGACCUGCGUUGUAUUAGCUAGUAGGUGAGGUAAUGGCUCACCUAGGCGACGAUACAUAGCCGACCUGAGAGGGUGAUCGGCCACACUGGGACUGAGACACGGCCCAGACUCCUACGGGAGGCAGCAGUAGGGAAUCUUCGGCAAUGGGGGCAACCCUGACCGAGCAACGCCGCGUGAGUGAAGAAGGUUUUCGGAUCGUAAAGCUCUGUUGUAAGUCAAGAACGGGUGUGAGAGUGGAAAGUUCACACUGUGACGGUAGCUUACCAGAAAGGGACGGCUAACUACGUG